RNAcentral lists this long non-coding RNA (203 nucleotides) under Elaeis guineensis (African oil palm). RNAcentral's name for it is "long non-coding RNA (EGUI_LNC075034)". The record is from RNAcentral. Lineage: Eukaryota; Viridiplantae; Streptophyta; Magnoliopsida; Arecales; Arecaceae.
GAGGGGUCUAAUCAAGAAAUAAUUUUUUUUUUUAAUUUUUUGAAGAUGCGGAAUGUUCACUUUAUCCAAAUUGUAUGAAAUUCACGUCACUGUCAUUUAUUGUUCAAUUAUUACGUUUGAAAGUGCUAAAUGGAUGGAUAGAUAAGUCAUUUACAUUAUUACUAAAGUUAUUUAAUGAUAUUUUCAGAAGGGGUACAUUUAUC